GCGGAGGGAUCAUUACUGAGUGAGGGCCUUCGGGCUCGACCUCCAACCCUUUGUGAACACAACUUGUUGCUUCGGGGGCGACCCUGCCGUUUUCACGGCGAGCGCCCCCGGAGGCCUUCAAACCCUGCAUCUUUGCGUCGGAGUUUAAGUAAAUUAAACAAAACUUUCAACAACGGAUCUCUUGGUUCUGGCAUCGAUGAAGAACGCAGCGAAAUGCGAUAAGUAAUGUGAAUUGCAGAAUUCAGUGAAUCAUCGAAUCUUUGAACGCACAUUGCGCCCUUUGGUAUUCCGAAGGGCAUGCCUGUUCGAGCGUCAUUUCACCACUCAAGCCUCGCUUGGUAUUGGGCGCCGCGGUCUGUCCGCGCGCCUCAAAGUCUCCGGCUGAGCUGUCCGUCUCUAAGCGUUGUGAUUUCAUUAAUCGCUUGGGAGUGCGGGCGGCCGCGGCCGUUAAAUCUUUCACACGGUUGACCUCGGAUCAGGUAGGGAUACCCGCUG
RNAcentral lists this ribosomal RNA (495 nucleotides) under Septoria cruciatae. Its description in RNAcentral is "eukaryotic LSU rRNA". The stretch from base 162 to 315 matches the Rfam family "5.8S ribosomal RNA". Lineage: Eukaryota; Fungi; Ascomycota; Dothideomycetes; Mycosphaerellales; Mycosphaerellaceae. The record is from RNAcentral.